UUCCCACAUCAUUCUAACAUUCAUUAAUUUUGCAAUAUUUCUGAAUAUUGCAAAAUUAAUGAAUGUUAGAAUGAUGUGGGAU
Molecule: microRNA precursor, 82 nt
Filed under: Podarcis lilfordi (Lilford's wall lizard)
Lineage: Eukaryota; Metazoa; Chordata; Lepidosauria; Squamata; Lacertidae
Source: RNAcentral